Molecule: ribosomal RNA, 546 nt
Filed under: uncultured archaeon
Lineage: Archaea
Description: bacterial SSU rRNA
Rfam family: Archaeal small subunit ribosomal RNA
Source: RNAcentral
CAGCAGGCGCGAAAACUUUACAAUGCCGGCAACGGCGAUAAGGGAACCUCGAGUGCCAGGUUACAAAUCUGGCUGUCGUGAUGCCUAAAAAGCAUUGCAUAGCAAGGGCCGGGCAAGACCGGUGCCAGCCGCCGCGGUAACACCGGCGGCUCGAGUGGUAACCGUUAUUAUUGGGUCUAAAGGGUCUGUAGCCGGCCGGAUAAGUCUCUUGGGAAAUCUGGCAGCUUAACUGUCAGGCUUUCAGGAGAUACUGUCUGGCUCGAGGCCGGGAGAGGUGAGAGGUACUUCAGGGGUAGGGGUGAAAUCUUGUAAUCCUUGAAGGACCACCAGUGGCGAAGGCGUCUCACCAGAACGGACCUGACGGCAAGGGACGAAAGCUAGGGGCACGAACCGGAUUAGAUACCCGGGUAGUCCUAGCCGUAAACGAUACUCGCUAGGUGUCGGCCACGGUGCGACCGUGGUCGGUGCCGUAGGGAAGCCGUGAAGCGAGCCACCUGGGAAGUACGGCCGCAAGGCUGAAACUUAAAGGAAUUGGCGGGGGAGCAC